GACGAACGCUGGCGGCGUGCCUAAUACAUGCAAGUCGAGCGGACUGACUGGGAGCUUGCUCUUGUUCGGUCAGCGGCGGACGGGUGAGUAACACGUGGGCAACCUGCCCGCAAGACCGGGAUAACUCCGGGAAACCGGAGCUAAUACCGGAUAACACCGAAGACCGCAUGGUCUUUGGUUGAAAGGCGGCGCAAGCUGCCACUUGCGGAUGGGCCCGCGGCGCAUUAGCUAGUUGGUGAGGUAACGGCUCACCAAGGCGACGAUGCGUAGCCGGCCUGAGAGGGUGACCGGCCACACUGGGACUGAGACACGGCCCAGACUCCUACGGGAGGCAGCAGUAGGGAAUCUUCCGCAAUGGGCGAAAGCCUGACGGAGCGACGCCGCGUGAGCGAAGAAGGCCUUCGGGUCGUAAAGCUCUGUUGUGAGGGACGAAGGAGCGCCGUUUGAAGAAGGCGGCGCGGUGACGGUACCUCACGAGGAAGCCCCGGCUAACUACGU
Molecule: ribosomal RNA, 498 nt
Filed under: uncultured bacterium
Lineage: Bacteria
Description: partial 16S ribosomal RNA
Rfam family: Bacterial small subunit ribosomal RNA
Source: RNAcentral